UAAUACGGAGGGGGCUAGCGUUAUUCGGAAUUACUGGGCGUAAAGCGCACGCAGGCUGCGUGAAUAGUUAGAGGUGAAAGCCCUGGGCUCAACCCAGGAAUUGCCUUUAAUACUUUCAUGCUAGAAUACGGGAGAGGGUAGUGGAAUUCCAAGUGUAGAGGUGAAAUUCGUAGAUAUUUGGAAGAACACCAGUGGCGAAGGCGGCUACCUGGACCGAUAUUGACGCUGAGGUGCGAAAGCGUGGGGAGCGAACAGGAUUAGAUACCCUGGUAGUCCACGCCGUAAACGAUGAGUGCUAGUUGUCGGGUGUUUGGCAUUCGGUGACGCAGCUAACGCGUUAAGCACUCCGCCUGGGGAGUACGGCCGCAAGGUUA
RNAcentral lists this ribosomal RNA (374 nucleotides) under uncultured Alphaproteobacteria bacterium. RNAcentral describes it as "bacterial SSU rRNA". It matches the Rfam family "Bacterial small subunit ribosomal RNA", at positions 521 to 896 of the family's 1533-position model. The record is from RNAcentral. Lineage: Bacteria; Pseudomonadati; Pseudomonadota; Alphaproteobacteria.